UGCUGGAAGAAAAACAGCUGCCAUGAUUGCUGUUUGAUUGAGAGCGCUUACACACACACACACACAAAAAACACGUCGGACGGCAAAGAGGAGCUACAAAUGCCUGAGGAUUCAGCUUUAGAGGAUCAACACACAUUUUCCUUUAAAAAUAUAUAAGUAUUAUAAGGUUUUUCCUCUCUCUUUCUCUCUCUCGCUCUCUUUUAAGAAAAUGUACUACGUAGAAUUGCUUUUCUUCUUCCCAUCCCCCCUUCAAAACCUCAAGCAAACUCGAGGAAUCAUGCCAAAAGUCCCGUUGCUAGUUACCAAGUGCAUUUUUUUAAACGUCCCUUUGAUACUUCUUUCCCUCAUGCUUGCUGUGGAAUAUGCAAGUGAGAUAAUCUUUCCAUUACUUAGAAAAGCAAUUAAAAACAACUUUCAGUUGAACUUUCCUUUUUAUUGAGGGGGCAAAAGAAGGGGGGGAGGGGAGAAGAGGGAGAAUAUUUUUUCCUCUUCCCAGAACCCAACAUUUGGCUUUUUCCAUUUGUGGCAGAUCACUGUAACUCUAUUGUAAAACAACUUCCUGCCCCUUUUGGCUCAAGUUCCAGAAGCUGCUAGGCUAAGUUCAUAGCACAAACUUUUUUUCUCCUUGCCGAAGAAGCAAGACAAAAAAAUCCUUGCUAAUUAUUUUGCCCUCUUUUUUGCAAAUGGAUUCAUAAGAUGAAUUUAUUGCAGUCCCCUUAACAAUGUUACAAAAGAGACGUCCGUAUACCAGCUGGAUAAUUCAUAAAUUUAAAAGUGAGAGUAACUACUCAAGGGACCAACAAAAGUCAGUUGCAUAAUACUGCUGGCCGUCAAAAUAAAGAUUUCAGUGAUGAAUGGAGAAUAUCAUACAGAAGAAACAGAUGAAUGUGCUCCCACCAAUUACACAGCAUGGAGAGGAGCCAAUGUAUGAGGAAAAGAGGUGAGAAGAGUGUAUGGAGGGGAGCAGUGCCUACAAAAAAUGCUCCCACUGCUCCACUAUUGCACAGAAGCUCUUUUGAGUGAUCUUUACACAGUUGGGGUUCCAAUGGCAAUUGAUGGGAUUAAAGGCCUGGCAGGGGACCUGCACUGGUAAAGAGCCUAUAACAGCCCUGCCUCUGCUUCUUCCAUGAGGCUGCUACCCCUAUACAAUAGAGGGAGGAUGUUAGGAAGAUGCCUUGCAGUUUACCUCAAGAGGCUUCAUAAGAUUCCAGAUAUUCCUGAAUUUCAUCCUAGUCUGAGCAUCUGGGUAUUCAUUCAACCUUAAUGCUAUUGAAGUACUGUUGACCAAUAUAUGGCACUGUGCAGCAAAAGUGAAAACUUUAAUUCCUCCUGGACUGAUUUUGACUCCAUGCAGAAAAGCACUUAAGCACAUGCUUAAAUCCAUCCUUUUUCAACUCUUAAGCAUGUGCUUAAGUUCCAUUGACUUAAACAUGUGCUUCACUUGAAACAUGUUCCUAGGUACUUUUCUGAAUCAGGGCCUUAAAAAGGAACAAUACUAGUAAGACGAUGAUGGAGUACUAGAAAACAGACAAACCAUUAUGACAGUGCACUGCUUAGAAAGAGGAAAGGGAUAAAGAAACAAAAAUAAACAAAAAUAAAUGUAUGUUAGCCAUUAAAGUCUGCCAAGAUUAAGUCCUUCUAUGCACAUUACUUAUUGGAUUUACUACAAAAUGCAGAUCUGCAUAUCAGGGCACUUUUGUCAAGAGUGGCUUCUCCUUCCUGAAAAUCAAAUCCUGCGCCAAACUGGGCAGUACUGAUAUAGAAUACCAUGCACUGAGAAUCAGAACUGAUCCAAAUAAGAUAUUUUAGUGUGGAGCAACAUUUCAUAACCAACAUAAAUCUAGCACUCAUUAUAGCUCAUGGGAGGAAAACUAAAUCACAAGUUCCAAUAAUUCCCCACCUGGUCACACAGCAUGUGUACAAAUUAAGAAUUACAAAUUAAGAAUACUCAAACAACGUGAUCUGAAGUCAAUGGAAAAAGAGUCCUGUUGAUUAAAACAGCUUUUAGAUCAGGGCAAAGGAAUACACUUAAACCUCAUCAACAUUAUGAUUUUUUAAUCAUGUAUUAACCUAUAGUUAAAAACAACUAGCAACAAAUGCCUGUUCCUUGUCUACACUACAAUUUACCAUUGUGUCAGUUUAAACAUGAUUGCAAACCAAAUUGGGUGCAAGCCCUUAGUGAACUGCUAUGGCACUGAGUAAAAUUUGACAGCCAUUUGGAAUUCAUACUUUAGCAAUGUAUCCUCAAUUGUCCAUAUGAAAACCAAAAGGCCCGAUGUUCCCCAUAUAUCUCGCUCCAAUUGUUCUGAAAUAAACUAUAUCAACAGGUACUUUACAUAGGAUUCCAGAGAGACUUUACCUUGUUACUGCAGAUGUACCAUUAUUCACAGAAGUCAUGGGGCUUAUAAAUCCUGAAACUAUUUUGCAAUUAGAACUUCUCCCUCUGCUGAUUCAGCACGUGCUUUCUGUCUAACCCAGCAUGCCAUCAGUGCUCUCAUGAUGGUCUUCUCCUCUGCAACUUCUGCCAUCUGGAAUAAUCUGCCUCUCUCUUUCCACCUCUUCUCAAAUCUCCCCUGAAAACACAUUUUCUCCUUUGUCUAUACACUUCUUAAUUUAUCCCUCUCUCUCCCUUUAGAAAAUGCACGACAUUGAGUUGUGUUGUAUUGAAAUGUUGUUUGGGUUCAUCGCUAUUUUUUUUCUCAAUUUCUAUUUCAGGCAGAAGGAAGGAAUUCAUUUUAGGAGUACACUAAUAGAUGUUUGCAAGCAAUGGACUGACCAUGCCCAAAAGGAGAAAAUGAAAUAAGCUAUAGUAGUUAGAGCACUAGAACAGGGCAGUCAGCUCUACCACAAAUUUACUGUGACGCCUUGGGCAAAUAGCUUAAACUUUCUCUGCCCUAGUUUCCUCAUCAUUUUCAAUUAUGACAGUACUUUACAUGCGUGGUGUUAAAGUUUGUAAAGGGCUUGGAGUUCCUGGAAUGGAAAGAGUUAUAGAAAUUGCUAACAACAGAAUCAUCAUCAUCAUCACCAUCAUUAUUACAAACUAUCCCUUCACUGAAUGUGAUUGUUAUAGGCUAUAGCUGGCAACAAACGGGUAUCUUUUCCAGUCAGAAUCACAAGCAUUCCUUUUGCACACAUCUAAAGCUCCAAUUAAAUAUGCCAGAAUAUUUUCCCCAACUUGCCCUAAAUGUGGUUGCACCAUGGAUUCAUUUUACCAUAUGGCCUGGGAGAACAUGCUGAAGUAUGUAUGUUCUGGUGCUCCGCCUCCACGGGGAAAGGAGAGUUCCCUAGGUCUCUAACGCUACACUAAACAUCACACUAGUUCUCGCCUUGUUUGGAGUGGGGAAUAUAGAAAGCAGGCAGGGCAUAUACCAAAAUGUAUAUCGCAUACCAGCCAUCUUCUUUUUAGGGCAAAGAAAAUAUUGCAAAACCCAUUUGCAGAGACUGAAUUCUGGUCAUAACUGGCUAGGCAGAUGAUACAUAGGGACCACUUAAAAUACAGAUAAAGAUGUUAAGUACCAUAGAACACAGAACUCCUAUACAAAGUCUAAAGCAACAAACAAGAACAACAUCUCUUCAGUAAAUAGGACAUCAAAUUCAGACCUGGUAUAUAUCAAGGCACCUCCAUCACACCCACUUUCACCAGAUCUAAAUUUGGCUCAUGGCGCCUGUCUCCCUUAUGUGGUCAAUUCUCAACUUGGACCUUAAGGAAAGCUAGCACAAGUAUGUGUACAUGGGGAUGGGAAUCACGCCCCUACAGUCAUACUGUAGACAUACUCUGAAGCAUUUGGUAACUGGUCAAUUACAGCGAUAGGAUAUGGGAUAAAUAAACAAUUGUGGUCAGACCUGCCAUAGUAAUUCCUAUGUUCACAUCCAAAGUAUUACUAUUAUAUAGAAGUUACUGUUUGGGGCAAUCUUGUUAUGCAUGCUUUGGUUAUAUUUUACAUAGAGCUACCUGGGGCAAAUCAGUCAAUUCAUGCCUACAUGAACAUCAAGAAAGUUUUCGACAUCUUCGCUUAUUAGAAGUGACGAUAGGUGUACAAUACAA
Molecule: long non-coding RNA, 4045 nt
Organism: Trachemys scripta elegans
Lineage: Eukaryota; Metazoa; Chordata; Testudines; Emydidae
Exons: 6
Source: RefSeq, a predicted model, not a curated record